This 772-nucleotide ribosomal RNA is filed under the name uncultured Lachnospiraceae bacterium. RNAcentral's name for it is "bacterial SSU rRNA". It matches the Rfam family "Bacterial small subunit ribosomal RNA", at positions 20 to 809 of the family's 1533-position model. The record is from RNAcentral. Lineage: Bacteria; Bacillati; Bacillota; Clostridia; Lachnospirales; Lachnospiraceae.
UGGCUCAGGAUGAACGCUGCGCGUGCUUAACACAUGCAAGUCGAACGGACCUUUGAUGAAGCCUAGCGAUUUAAAGGUUAGUGGCGGACGGGUGAGUAACGCGUGGGUAACCUGCCUUAUACAGGGGGAUAACACUUAGAAAUAGGUGCUAAUACCGCAUAAGCGCACAGUAUCGCAUGAUACAGUGUGAAAAACUCCGGUGGUAUAAGAUGGACCCGCGUCUGAUUAGCUAGUUGGUGAGGUAACGGCUCACCAAGGCGACGAUCAGUAGCCGGCCUGAGAGGGUGAACGGCCACAUUGGGACUGAGACACGGCCCAAACUCCUACGGGAGGCAGCAGUGGGGAAUAUUGCACAAUGGGGGAAACCCUGAUGCAGCGACGCCGCGUGAGUGAAGAAGUAUUUCGGUAUGUAAAGCUCUAUCAGCAAGGAAGAAAAUGACGGUACUUGACUAAGAAGCCCCGGCUAACUACGUGCCAGCAGCCGCGGUAAUACGUAGGGGGCAAGCGUUAUCCGGAUUUACUGGGUGUAAAGGGAGCGUAGACGGCAAGGCAAGUCUGAUGUGAAAGCCCGGGGCUCAACCCCGGGACUGCAUUGGAAACUGUUUAGCUAGAGUGCAGGAGAGGUAAGUGGAAUUCCUAGUGUAGCGGUGAAAUGCGUAGAUAUUAGGAGGAACACCAGUGGCGAAGGCGGCUUACUGGACUGUAACUGACGUUGAGGCUCGAAAGCGUGGGGAUCUUCACUUAGAUACCCUGGUAGUCCACGCCGAAACGA